RNAcentral lists this ribosomal RNA (474 nucleotides) under uncultured bacterium. Its description in RNAcentral is "SSU rRNA". It matches the Rfam family "Bacterial small subunit ribosomal RNA", at positions 26 to 518 of the family's 1533-position model. The record is from RNAcentral.
AGGACGAACGCUGGCGGCGUGCUUAACACAUGCAAGUCGAGCGGAAAGGCCCUUCGGGGUACUCGAGCGGCGAACGGGUGAGUAACACGUGAGCAACCUGCCCUUAGCUCUGGGAUAGCUCCGGGAAACCGGAAUUAAUACCGGAUAUGACCUAGGCCGACAUCGGCCGUGGUGGAAAGUUUUUCGGCUAGGGAUGGACUCGCGGCCUAUCAGCUAGUUGGUGGGGUAAUGGCCUACCAAGGCGACGACGGGUAGCCGGCCUGAGAGGGCGACCGGCCACACUGGGACUGAGACACGGCCCAGACUCCUACGGGAGGCAGCAGUGGGAAUCUUGCGCAAUGGGCGAAAGCCUGACGCAGCGACGCCGCGUGGGGGAUGGAAGGCCUUCGGGUUGUAAACCCCUUUCAGCAGGGACGAAGCGAAAGUGACGGUACCUGCAGAAGAAGCGCCGGCUAACUACGCGCCAGCAGCCGC